AGAGUUUGAUCAUGGCUCAGGAUGAACGCUGGCGGCGUGCUUAACACAUGCAAGUCGAACGGGGUUACACCUUCGGGUGUAACUUAGUGGCGGACGGGUGAGUAACGCGUGGAUAACCUGGCCCAUACAGGGGGAUAGCAGCUGGAAACGGCUGAUAAUACCGCAUAAGCGCACGGGUUCGCAUGAACCUGUGUGAAAAGCUGAGGCGGUAUGGGAUGGAUCCGCGUCUGAUUAGGCAGUUGGCGGGGUAACGGCCCACCAAACCGACGAUCAGUAGCCGGCCUGAGAGGGUGGACGGCCACAUUGGGACUGAGACACGGCCCAAACUCCUACGGGAGGCAGCAGUGGGGAAUAUUGCACAAUGGGGGGAACCCUGAUGCAGCGACGCCGCGUGAGCGAGGAAGUAUUUCGGUAUGUAAAGCUCUAUCAGCAGGGAAGACAAUGACGGUACCUGACUAAGAAGCCCCGGCUAACUACGUGCCAGCAGCCGCGGUAAUACGUAGGGGGCAAGCGUUAUCCGGAUUUACUGGGUGUAAAGGGAGCGUAGACGGCGCAGCAAGUCUGAAGUGAAAGGACGGGGCUUAACCCUGUGACUGCUUUGGAAACUGCGGUGCUUGAGUGCCGGAGGGGUAAGCGGAAUUCCUAGUGUAGCGGUGAAAUGCGUAGAUAUUAGGAGGAACACCAGUGGCGAAGGCGGCUUACUGGACGGUAACUGACGUUGAGGCUCGAAGGCGUGGGGAGCAAACAGGAUUGGAUACCCUGGUAGUCCACGCGGUAAACGAUGAAUACUAGGUGUCAGG
RNAcentral lists this ribosomal RNA (800 nucleotides) under uncultured bacterium. RNAcentral describes it as "bacterial SSU rRNA". It matches the Rfam family "Bacterial small subunit ribosomal RNA", at positions 8 to 827 of the family's 1533-position model. The record is from RNAcentral.